RNAcentral lists this ribosomal RNA (1476 nucleotides) under metagenome. RNAcentral's name for it is "bacterial LSU rRNA". It matches the Rfam family "Bacterial large subunit ribosomal RNA", at positions 1477 to 2925 of the family's 2925-position model. The record is from RNAcentral.
GAAGGCUAGUUCAGCAGGGGUUGGUUCCCUGUUUAAGCAUGUAGGAGGAGUUGCCAGGCAAAUCCGGCAGCUCUUAACUCCGAGGUGUGAUGACGAGGCUCCACGCGAGCCGAAGUGAAUAACGCCCCGCUUCCAGGAAAAGCCUCUAAGCUUCAGAUCACAUUGGACCGUACCGUAAACCGACACUGGUGGGUGAGCAGAUAAUCUGCCAAGGCGCUUGAGAGAACUCGGGUUAAGGAACUCUGCAAAUUGAUACCGUAACUUCGGAAGAAGGUAUGCCUUCGACGGUGUAGGGAUUUACUCCCGAAGCUGUUGAAGGUCGCAGGUAAUCGGUGGCUGCGACUGUUUAUCAAAAACACAGGACUCUGCGAACACGCAAGUGGAAGUAUAGGGUCUGACGCCUGCCCGGUGCCGGAAGGUUAAUUGGUGGGGUUAGCCGCAAGGCGAAGCUCUUGAUCGAAGCCCCGGUAAACGGCGGCCGUAACAAUAACGGUCCUAAGGUAGCGAAAUUCCUUGUCGGGUAAGUUCCGACCUGCACGAAUGGCGUAACGCUGGCCACACUGUCUCGACCCGAGACUCAGUGAAGUUGAAAUCGCUGUGAAGAUGCGGCGUUCCCGCGGCAAGACGGAAAGACCCCGUGAACCUUCACUACAGCUUUACACUGAACUUUGAACCUUUCUGUGUAGGAUAGGUGGGAGGCUAUGAAACUUGGGCGCUAGCUCGAGUGGAGCCAACCUUGAAAUACCACCCUGGGAUGUUUGAAGUUCUAACCUUGGUCCGUAAUCCGGAUUGGGGACAGUGUAUGGUGGGUAGUUUGACUGGGGCGGUCUCCUCCCAAAGAGUAACGGAGGAGUGCAAUGGUACGCUCAGCGCGGUCGGUCAUCGCGCUCUAGAGUGCAAAGGCAUAAGCGUGCUUAACUGUGAGACAGACACGUCGAACAGGUACGAAAGUAGGUCUUAGUGAUCCGGUGGUUCUGUAUGGAAGGGCCAUCGCUCAACGGAUAAAAGGUACUCCGGGGAUAACAGGCUUAUUCCUCCCAAGAGUCCACAUCGACGGAGGAGUUUGGCACCUCGAUGUCGGCUCAUCACAUCCUGGGGCUGUAGCAGGUCCCAAGGGUAUGGCUGUUUCGCCAUUUAAAGUGGUACGCGAGCUGGGUUCAGAACGUCGUGAGACAGUUCGGUCCCUAUCUGCCGUGGGCGUUGGAAACUUGAGGGUGAGCUGUCCUUAGUACGAGAGGACCGGGAUGGACGUAUCUCUGGUGUUCCGGUUGUCACGCCAGUGGCACUGCCGGGUAGCUAUAUACGGACGGGAUAAGCGCUGAAAGCAUCUAAGUGCGAAGCCCCCCCCAAGAUUAGGUUUCCCUGGGAACUCGAUUCCCCUAAAGGGCCGUCGGAGACUACGACGUUGAUAGGCUGGGUGUGUAAGUGCAGCAAUGCAUUGAGCUAACCAGUACUAAUUGCCCGUGAGGCUUGAGC